Molecule: ribosomal RNA, 165 nt
Filed under: uncultured bacterium
Lineage: Bacteria
Description: partial 16S ribosomal RNA
Rfam family: Bacterial small subunit ribosomal RNA
Source: RNAcentral
UAGGGAAUCUUCCACAAUGGGCGAAAGCCUGAUGGAGCAACGCCGCGUGUGUGAUGAAGGCUUUCGGGUCGUAAAGGCACUGUUGUAUGGGAAGAACAGCUAGAAUAGGAAAUGAUUUUAGUUUGACGGUACCAUACCAGAAAGGGACGGCUAAAUACGUGCCAA